UAAAAUUUAAGUUGAGUGAAUUGUCUCUCUAGCAUUGCUUGAAUUGAAGAAUCAGAGAAGAGAAGCUUAUAAAUUCAGUGAAGAUGGUGGUAAGAACUGUGGAUCUUCGCUCAGACACCGUCACUAGACCAACUGAAGCCAUGCGGAACGCAAUGGCGAAUGCUGAAGUGGAUGAUGAUGUCUUAGGUUAUGAUCCAACAGCCCAACGCCUUGAAGCAGAGAUGGCAAGGAUAACGGGCAAGGAAGCAGGAUUAUUUGUUCCUUCUGGCACUAUGGGUAACCUUAUCAGUGUGCUGACUCAUUGCCAAAUCAGGGGCAGUGAGAUUAUUCUCGGUGAUUAUUCCCAUAUCCAUAUUUAUGAAAAUGGAGGCAUUUCCACCCUUGGAGGUGUUCAUCCAAGGACAGUGAAGAACAAUGAAGAUGGUACGAUGGAUCUUGAUCUGAUUGAAGCUGCGAUUCGAGAUCCUAGCUUUGAAAUAUGUUACCCAACCACUAGGCUGAUCUGCUUGGAGAAUUCGCAAGCUCACUCAGGGGGCAGAUGCCUUUCUGCGGAG
Molecule: unclassified non-coding RNA, 554 nt
Filed under: Hevea brasiliensis (rubber tree)
Lineage: Eukaryota; Viridiplantae; Streptophyta; Magnoliopsida; Malpighiales; Euphorbiaceae
Source: RNAcentral